GACGAACGCUGGCGGCGUGCUAAACACAUGCAAGUCGAGCGGAAAGGCUCCUUCGGGGGUACUCGAGCGGCGAACGGGUGAGUAACACGUGAGUAAUCUGCCUCUGGCUUCGGGAUAGCCCUCCGAAAGGGGGAUUAAUACCGGAUAUGACCAGCUACUGCAUGGUGGUUGGUGGAAAGUUUUUUCGGCCAGGGAUGUGCUCGCGGCCUAUCAGCUUGAUGGUGGGGUAAUGGCCUACCAUGGCUUCGACGGGUAGCCGGCCUGAGAGGGUGACCGGUCACACUGGGACUGAGACACGGCCCAGACUCCUACGGGAGGCAGCAGGGGGGAAUAUUGGACAAUGGGCGGAAGCCUGAUCCAGCAACGCCGCGUGAGGGAUGACUGCCUUCGGGUUGUAAACCUCUUUCAGUACCGACGAAGCGAAAGUGACGGUAGGUACAGAAGAAGCACCGGCCGACUACGUGCCAGCCGCCGCCGUAA
RNAcentral lists this ribosomal RNA (480 nucleotides) under uncultured bacterium. Its description in RNAcentral is "partial 16S ribosomal RNA". It matches the Rfam family "Bacterial small subunit ribosomal RNA", at positions 28 to 523 of the family's 1533-position model. The record is from RNAcentral.